Molecule: long non-coding RNA, 206 nt
Filed under: Malus domestica (apple)
Lineage: Eukaryota; Viridiplantae; Streptophyta; Magnoliopsida; Rosales; Rosaceae
Description: long non-coding RNA (MDOM_LNC001805)
Source: RNAcentral
AAUAUGUUACAAGCUUUAUUCUUGUUUCUUUGAAUGUAAAUUUUGUUGGAAAAUUUGCCAUCUCAAAUGUUGUAUAUGUAGUUCAUAUGAGCAUGAAUAUUGGAGCUAAAAUUUGGUGCCAUGUUUUUGGGAUUUUUCGGCCAAAUCCAAAGGGUGGAUUUUUGGGUUCUUGUUUGACUUGUUAAAAGUGUUUUCAAGUAACUUUU